Molecule: ribosomal RNA, 939 nt
Filed under: Pannaria microphyllizans
Lineage: Eukaryota; Fungi; Ascomycota; Lecanoromycetes; Peltigerales; Pannariaceae
Description: SSU rRNA
Rfam family: Bacterial small subunit ribosomal RNA
Source: RNAcentral
UAGGGAUAAAAUACCUUAUAUUUAUAAAGAAACAUAGUUUUGCUCUUAGAUAUUAAUUAUCUCGUGUAGUAUUAGUUAAAGUAAAAAUUUAACUAGCUUAAUACACGUAGUCGUAACUGAGAGGUUGAUCGACCACAAUGUGGCCUGAACAAAGCCCAUGACUUGUUUACAGCAGUGAGGAAUAUUGGUCAAUAGCCUAACGGCUGAACCAGCAACUUGGAAGAAUGUAUAGCAAUAGCUAAUUGUAAAUUCAUAACGGGUUAAACAGGGGUAAUUUACAGUAUCGAGUGUAUCGACUAAAAUUCUAGGUAGAUUUAUGAUAAUGACAUUGUCUAUCUAUGUGUCUUGACCAAAUUGCGUGCCAGCAGUCGCGGCAAUACGCAGAAGACUAGUGUUAUUCAUCUUUAGUUGGUUUAAAGCGUACCUAGACGGUAUUUAUAGCCUAAAUAAGGUACUUUUUUACUAGAGUUAUAUGUGAAAGUGUAUUAAAGUACUGUUGAGUUUAGAGAUGAAAUUCUUUGACACCAGAUAAUUGGCACAGGUAAAGGCGAAAGCAUCACUUUAUGUAAUAACUGACGUUGAGGGACGAAGGCUUUGUGUCGCGAACAGGAUUAGAUACCCCAGUAGUCUUAGCAGAAAAUUAUGAGUGUCAUAGAUUAAAUUUAAUUUGAUCUAUAAAUGAAAGUGUAAGCAUUCCACCUCAAGAGUAAUUUGGCAACAUUGGAACUGAAAUCAUUAGACCGUUUCUGAAACCAGUAGUGAAGUAUGUUGUUUAAUUUGAUAACCCGCAAAAAACCUUACCACAACUUGAAUAUAAAUCAUGUAUUUUUACAAGCGUUGCACGGCUGUCUUCAGUUAAUGUCGUGAGAUAUGGCUUUCCAUAUAAUUAACAUAAACCCUUGCUCUUUUUUUUUAUAGAGUUAUCCUCCGUUAUAUUGG